AGGGAAGUACUGCCACCUUACCUAUUUCUGCCCCAAAGUAGUAAUGGAAGCAUUACUACGUUCUGGUUUUGAAGGGUAAAGGUGCUGGUGAAAUUACAGGCACUUGAGACUUUUCACAUCUCAGGGGUCACCCAGGUGCAGUGGCAGUGCCCUCAGAUCUUUGCGAUUUAAAGUUCGUCCCGUCAUUUGGUGUCAUACAAAAAAAAUCUACGGAAAUAAUUAUGCUAAGAUCCAUCCAUGCACAGCAGUUUCGUGUUACUUAUUUAAAUUGGUCAUUGUGGUCACGUUACUGUUUUUACUGAGGAUAUACAGGUACAGGAAGAAAUCGUGUUAGCAUCCCUACAUUGGAUAGCUUUCUAUAAAGUACCUAAUCCUGUUGUAAUCCUGAUGUAGCAACAAAUGCAAAUACUCCAAUCAGACGACCAGCUGUUAGUAAGCGUUCAAUCUGUCAAGAAAAGAUUACACUAAGGUGGUCUUCAUUCUUGCAAACCGGUUCGUGUUCUAUCUCUACGAAAUGACACUCGCGAAAACAAUUUAGACUCAAGAACUUUUUUACGGAAUUGUCAACGAAUGAAUCUCGGUUUGGAUUUUAUUCGAACCAAAUUCGUGAAAAGAACACCAUGUGUUUCAAGAUCAGAGAAAGCCGCCUUCCCCAUCCACAGGAAGAAACAUUCACCAAACGAGCUAAUUUUGAUAAGAGGCAGCAAGAGUGCACAAAAAUACCGUGACGAGAUCGAAGAAUCUGUAAUUAUCCCACAUAUAGUGCAAUUUGAACAGAACUUUCAGAACAUGAUAACAAUGCCAAUCAGGUAUAAUAAUCACUUUUAAUUAAUCACACACGGCGCAGGUCUUUGGGGAACAUGAUCUAAGCGUUUUCGAAUUGGCAGCACAAUCACCUGUAUGUAAAUUUGUAUCGAUUGAACAUUAACCAUACGUGAAAUUUGCCAUGAUUAACUUUUACAGUAACUGACAAAAUCUUAGAGCAUGGAAAAAAUAAGGAUAAAAUCUUAGAGGAUGUUGGAUUAAGUCGAGUGCACAAGGAGACACAGAUGACAUCUUCGGCAUAAGUCAAUGUUUUCCGGUUAACUAUUAAUUUUACGAUAGCCGCGGGAAGAUAGCGGUGCUACUUGUGACAUUGUGACCAACCCUUUUCCGCAAUCCCAUCAAACACGGCGCAUACGCAAAAUAGAAGAAUAAAAUACAAUACACAAAGACAAGCAUUAUGAACUUUCUAAAAUUACUUAUGCUUAUAACAUUAAUGUCUAUAUUCCAUUAAUUUAAAUACUUUAAUAACAGGCACUCAGUAACCGUCAAAAAUUUUAAAUUAAAUUUUUUGGAGAUAAUACGACUCAAAAUGGCAUUUUAAAAUAAAGUUGCCAUAAUAAUAUUAUAAAGCCUCAUCAUUUCCACAACAGCAUUACAAUAUGAUUACCUAUAUCCUUUUUUGGUAGAGUAUGUCCUCAAUUUUUGCAUACUUUAUUGCAUUAUUGCGAAAAGUAUGUAGAUAUUUAUAAAAGUUAUUUAUAAAUAAUAAUAACAUGUAAAUAGCAUUUAUUUUGGAAAACUAUUAACUCUAUAAUAGGCAGACGAAGCGACAGAAAAUUUUGAGCUAAAUUUGUUUUA
Long non-coding RNA from Hyposmocoma kahamanoa, 1623 nucleotides. RefSeq lists it as uncharacterized. The record is from RefSeq and is a predicted model, not a curated record. The transcript has 3 exons. NCBI's taxonomy places the organism in Eukaryota, Metazoa, Arthropoda, Insecta, Lepidoptera, Cosmopterigidae.